UGCAAGUCGAACGGCAGCACGGGAGCAAUCCUGGUGGCGAGUGGCGAACGGGUGAGUAAUAUAUCGGAACGUGCCCAGUAGUGGGGGAUAGCCCGGCGAAAGCCGGAUUAAUACCGCAUACGACCUAAGGGUGAAAGCGGGGGAUCGCAAGACCUCGCGCUAUUGGAGCGGCCGAUAUCAGAUUAGCUAGUUGGUGGGGUAAAAGCCCACCAAGGCGACGAUCUGUAGCUGGUCUGAGAGGACGACCAGCCACACUGGGACUGAGACACGGCCCAGACUCCUACGGGAGGCAGCAGUGGGGAAUUUUGGACAAUGGGCGCAAGCCUGAUCCAGCCAUGCCGCGUGCGGGAAGAAGGCCUUCGGGUUGUAAACCGCUUUUGUCAGGGAAGAAACGGCUCUUACUAAUAUUAGGAGCUAAUGACGGUACCUGAAGAAUAAGCACCGGCUAACUACGUGCCAGCAGCCGCGGUAAUACGUAGGGUGCAAGCGUUAAUCGGAAUUACUGGGCGUAAAGCGUGCGCAGGCGGCUAUGCAAGACAGAUGUGAAAUCCCCGGGCUCAACCUGGGAACUGCAUUUGUGACUGCAUGGCUAGAGUACGGUAGAGGGGGAUGGAAUUCCGCGUGUAGCAGUGAAAUGCGUAGAUAUGCGGAGGAACACCGAUGGCGAAGGCAAUCCCCUGGACCUGUACUGACGCUCAUGCACGAAAGCGUGGGGGAGCAAACAGGAUUAGAUACCCUGGUAGUCCACCGCCCUUAACGAUGUCAACUGGUUGUUGGACGGCUUGCUGUUCAGUAACGAAGCUAACGCGUGAAGUUGACCGCCUGGGGAGUACGGCCGCAAGGGUGAAACUCAAAGGAAUUGACGGGGACCCGCCCAAGCGGUGGAUGAUGUGGUU
RNAcentral lists this ribosomal RNA (896 nucleotides) under uncultured Aquabacterium sp. RNAcentral's name for it is "bacterial SSU rRNA". It matches the Rfam family "Bacterial small subunit ribosomal RNA", at positions 56 to 946 of the family's 1533-position model. Lineage: Bacteria; Pseudomonadati; Pseudomonadota; Betaproteobacteria; Burkholderiales; Sphaerotilaceae. The record is from RNAcentral.